UUGGGAAUCUUGCGCAAUGGGCGAAAGCCUGACGCAGCGACGCCGCGUGAGGGAUGACGCAUUUCGGUGUGUAAACCUCUUUUCUCAGGGACGACUCUCGACGGUACCUGAGGAAUAAGCCCCGGCUAACUCCGUGCCAGCAGCCGCGGUAAGACGGAGGGGGCGAGCGUUGUCCGGAAUUACUGGGCGUAAAGGGCGCGUAGGCGGUCUGAUACGGCGGUGGUGAAAGCUCCUGGCUUAACUGGGAGAGGCCCAUCGCGACGGUCGGACUGGAGGCGGGUAGAGGCAGAUGGAAUUCCUGGUGUAGCGGUGAAAUGCGUAGAGAUCAGGAGGAACACCCAUGGCGAAGGCAGUCUGCUGGGCCUGGCCUGACGCUGAGGCGCGAAGGCGAGGGGAGCGAACGGG
RNAcentral lists this ribosomal RNA (405 nucleotides) under uncultured bacterium. RNAcentral's name for it is "partial 16S ribosomal RNA". It matches the Rfam family "Bacterial small subunit ribosomal RNA", at positions 355 to 776 of the family's 1533-position model. The record is from RNAcentral.